Molecule: long non-coding RNA, 2137 nt
Filed under: Sorghum bicolor (sorghum)
Lineage: Eukaryota; Viridiplantae; Streptophyta; Magnoliopsida; Poales; Poaceae
Description: long non-coding RNA (SBIC_LNC011852)
Source: RNAcentral
GUUCCUAGAGAUGCUAGAAUUCUGGAGAAUUUUAUCUUUGAAAUUUUUUAAAAUGUUGCAUGAUGAGUUCCUGUAUGAUGAGAGUUUAAAUUCCUACCACAGCCAUAUAUACAUGCUUGCUAGACUUUGAGCCACACAUUUAAUAUUUACUGCUUAUGAGCAUUGAGUGUGGUCAAGCUGUGUAGACCCUUAGGAGCUUGUCAUGUGGUUAAAUCAAGAUUUCACUUGCACGUUCACUCAUAUAUGCUACUUCUACUCCGGAAGUACCAUCCACAUAUAUCCACCCAUUCCAUUUCCAGAACCACCCAAAAAUAUUCUACUCCUAAUCCGAGAGAGAAUAACCAAAAAUAUUUCUGUUUUUCCCUUGUGAAAUAAAUGCUCAAGUUAUCUUGUUACUACCACUUGCUAUAUUAUCUCAAGAGAUGAGUGUUUAAAAAAAAUAGAGAAAAAUACGAGGAAAUAAAAAGGAGCAAGUGCUCGGAACCUCGAAAGAAAAAAAAAAGUGAGACGAGAGGUAAAAAUGGACAGGUGUCCGACAAUAGAAUUAGGGGUACAAGAUACCCACCACCUGAGAGAAAAGAAAAAAGAAGAGCAUCUCAUUCUCCUCAUAAAGUUUCAAAAAGCAAGGAAGGUAUGUAUCCCCUCAAAGAGCAAAGUAGAAUUAGACUUCCACCACCCUUGUUAUCACCAUCAUCACCAUACACCAUUCAUUCGCCACACAUGCACAUCUUGAUUAAACUUAUUGAUUUGUUUCUUUGGAUCCAUGGUUUGACUAUACAAUAAAUGUCUUGUAAGUAUGUAUACUUUUAUCUCCCACCUAUGAGCUCCAGAUAUUAAAGCCUUAUUAGAGUAGGGUGAGAGAGGAGGCAAUGUCACUAUGCCUUACACCACAAAUACUACAAAUCUUGAGAGAAGGCAUAUACCAUCACUGCCUUGGUAAGGAUCCAGAAAUACCACAAAAGAGAGAUAUGAGAGAAUCAUACAAGGAAUCUCUGAGUUUUAUUUGAAAAUCUGCAAAAACCCCAGAGCUAUAGCUGAUCAAGAAUAAGAGACAUGGCACAUGGCUAGACUGUUCUAUCUUUUAAGGAGUCUCAACAUGAUAAAGGUUAGAUAUUUAUGCUAACACUUAAUCAGUUCCACAAGCUUUGUUGUCUAUUUGAGCUCUACAGAAUUUAAGAAUGUAAGAAGACUAGCAGACGGAGGACAUUCUAAUCGCUGUCAGAAUGCUGCUGACUUUCAAAUACACCUCUGCCACCUUUGCUUAGUGUGCUUAAUAAAUAAAUAAAGUAGCUAUGCUAAUCUGUAUCUAAAUAAAACUUAAGCAUGGAUAUGAUAAAUAGUUGCUCUGCCUAAUUUGUAAAUUUUAAGUUCUCUCUCAAGUUUAGAUAUAACUGUUAUAAUUUAAAGCUUGCUCUAGACCUAAACUUGUGGGAUGAAAACUUGAUCUGAAGUCUAAGUUGUUAACGGAUAUGAUAUGGGAAGGUUGAGCUGCUGUUUAUCUGUUCCUAGAGAUGCUAGAAUUCUGGAGAAUUUUAUCUUUAAAAAUCUUUAAAAUGUUGCAUGAUGAGUUCCUGUAUGAUGAGAGUUUAAAUUCCUACCACAGCCAUAUAUGCAUGCUUGCUAGACUUUGAGCCACACAUUUAUUUACUACUUAUGAGCAUUGAGUGUGGUCAAGCUGUGUAGACCCUUAGGAGCUUGUCAUGUGAUUAAAUCAAGAUUUCACUUGCACGUUCACUCAUAUAUGCUACUUCUACUCUGGAAGUACCAUCCACAUAUAUCCACCCAUUCCAUCUACAGAAUCACCCAAAAAUAUUCUACUCCUAAUCCGGGAGAGAAUAACCAAAAAUAUCUCUGUUUUCCCCUUGUGAAACAAAUGCUCAAGUUAUCUUGUUACAACCACUUGCUAUAUUAUCUCAAGAGAUGGAUGCUCUAAAAAAAAAGAGAGAUACGAGGAAAUAAAAAGGAGCAAGUGCUCGGAACCUCGAAAGAAAAGAAAAAGUGAGACGAGAGGUAAAAAUGGACAAGUGUCCGACAGUAGAAUUAGGGGUACAAGAUACCCACCUGAGAGACAAGAAAAAGAAGAGCAUCUCAUUCUCCUCAUAAAGUUUCAAAAGCAAGAAAGGUAUGUAUCCCCUCA